Molecule: ribosomal RNA, 240 nt
Filed under: uncultured bacterium
Lineage: Bacteria
Description: partial 16S ribosomal RNA
Rfam family: Bacterial small subunit ribosomal RNA
Source: RNAcentral
UACGAAGGGGGCUAGCGUUGUUCGGAAUUACUGGGCGUAAAGCGCACGUAGGCGGAUAUUUAAGUGAGGGGUGAAAUCCCAGGGCUCGAACCCUGGAACUGCCUCUCAUACUGGGUAUCUCGAGUUCGAGAGAGGUGAGUGGAAUUGCGAGUGUAGAGGUGAAAUUCGUAGAUAUUCGCAGGAACACCAGUGGCGAAGGCGGCUCACUGGCUCGAUACUGACGCUGAGGUGCGAAAGCGU